UACGUAGGGUGCAAGCGUUGUCCGGAAUUAUUGGGCGUAAAGAGCUUGUAGGCGGUUUGUCGCGUCUGCUGUGAAAUUUCGGGGCUCAACCCCGAACUUGCAGUGGGUACGGGCAGGCUAGAGUGUGGUAGGGGAGACUGGAAUUCCAGGUGUAGCGGUGAAAUGCGUAGAUAUCUGGAAGAACACCGGUGGCGAAGGCGGUCGACUGGCCCUAAACUGACGCUGAGGCACGAAAGCGUGGGGAUCAAACAGG
This 253-nucleotide ribosomal RNA is filed under the name uncultured bacterium. RNAcentral's name for it is "partial 16S ribosomal RNA". It matches the Rfam family "Bacterial small subunit ribosomal RNA", at positions 524 to 776 of the family's 1533-position model. The record is from RNAcentral.